Molecule: transfer RNA, 88 nt
Filed under: Candidatus Magasanikbacteria bacterium RIFOXYB2_FULL_38_10
Lineage: Bacteria; Candidatus Magasanikiibacteriota
Description: tRNA-Ser
Rfam family: tRNA
About the family: Transfer RNA (tRNA) molecules are approximately 80 nucleotides in length. Their secondary structure includes four short double-helical elements and three loops (D, anti-codon, and T loops). Further hydrogen bonds mediate the characteristic L-shaped molecular structure. tRNAs have two regions of fundamental functional importance: the anti-codon, which is responsible for specific mRNA codon recognition, and the 3' end, to which the tRNAs corresponding amino acid is attached (by aminoacyl-tRNA synthetases). tRNAs cope with the degeneracy of the genetic code in two manners: having more than one tRNA (with a specific anti-codon) for a particular amino acid; and 'wobble' base-pairing, i.e. permitting non-standard base-pairing at the 3rd anti-codon position.
Source: RNAcentral
GGAAGGUUCGCAUAGUGGUCUAGUGCACACGCUUGGAAAGCGUGCAUACCGCAAGGUAUCGAGGGUUCGAAUCCCUCACCUUCCGCCA